Molecule: ribosomal RNA, 229 nt
Filed under: uncultured bacterium
Lineage: Bacteria
Description: partial 16S ribosomal RNA
Rfam family: Bacterial small subunit ribosomal RNA
Source: RNAcentral
UACGUAGGCGGAAAAUUAAGUCAGUAGUGAAAUCCUGCAGCUUAACUGUAGAACUGUUAUUGAUACUGGUUUUCCUGAAUAUAGUUGAGGUAAGCGGAAUGUGUAAUGUAGCGGUGAAAUGCUUAGAUAUUACACAGAACACCGAUUGCGAAGGCAGCUUACUAAGCUAUGAUUGACGCUGAGGUACGAAAGCGUGGGGAGCGAACAGGAUUAGAUACCCUGGUAGUCC